This 735-nucleotide long non-coding RNA is filed under the name Linum usitatissimum (flax). RNAcentral's name for it is "long non-coding RNA (LUSI_LNC002040)". The record is from RNAcentral. Lineage: Eukaryota; Viridiplantae; Streptophyta; Magnoliopsida; Malpighiales; Linaceae.
AAAGAUGUUUCUUAGCUUCCCAAAGAUUAUUACCAAUUUCUUGAUGCUCCUUCCCUUUGUUACAUUCUAUAGCCUUGGCAGCAGAAUUCUUUCUUUUACUGAAGCUCAUGGGGUGUCUGGCAAUUAUUUCAGUAAAGAAAUGUUCUUUAGCUGCAGAACUUCUUCCAUUGUUACGAUUGUUUGAACCUUCUUGCCGCUCUCUUCCCAUGGCAUUUCUCAACCUUCUUUUGAUCUGAGUGAGGGAAAAAUGGGAGGAAUUGCUCCUCUCAAUACCUCCCUUGGUCAUUUCAGACUGAUGUGAUGAGCCAAGACCGAUUUUAGUUUCCAUAUUCUGCAGUCCCGGCUUCAAAAUGACAAUCCUGUUCGUAGCUUGAGGCGAGUUGUUUCCUAAAGGAACGGUCUUUUCGAGCGAUUUCGACUUUUUCCUGAAGAAUUUCCGCUGUUUUGUUGUUGCUGCUGCUGAAACUUCACUGGCUUGCUCUGGUGAAUGCUCAUCAUCAUUCUGUAACUGAGAAUUCCUCGGCUUCUUCUCGAAGUAUUUCCCAAGAAAUGAUCUUUGCCCCUGCAGGAAUUGCAGAACCAAUUCCUCGUCGGAGCUUAUAAUUCGAAGUGCAUCCCGGAGUUCCUGAGAGUGAUGAACAUCUUCAUUGACAUUAUCCUCCGCUUGAUGAUUCCUGUCACCGGCGAGUCUUUGACUAAUAAAAAGAGUCAAGAUCUCCUUGAGUUUCUCUUCAA